CCCUUAGAUGUUCUGGGCCGCACGCGCGCUACACUGAUGCAUUCAACGAGUUUCUUCCUGGUCCGAGAGGAAUGGGUAACCUUUUGAAAGUGCAUCGUGAUAGGGAUAGACUAUUGCAAUUAUUGGUCUUCAACGAGGAAUUCCUAGUAGACGUAGUUCAUCAGACUGCAUCGAUUACGUCCCUGCCCUUUGUACACACCGCCCGUCGCUCCUACCGAUUGAAUGCUCAGGUGAGCCAUUCGGACUUUCAUCAUGAUGGUUUCCAGUUUUGAUGAAGGAAAGUCUUGCGAACCUUAUCAUUUAGAGGAAGGAGAAGUCGUAACA
RNAcentral lists this ribosomal RNA (324 nucleotides) under uncultured eukaryote. RNAcentral's name for it is "partial 18S ribosomal RNA". It matches the Rfam family "Eukaryotic small subunit ribosomal RNA", at positions 1470 to 1796 of the family's 1831-position model. The record is from RNAcentral.